This 494-nucleotide ribosomal RNA is filed under the name uncultured bacterium. RNAcentral's name for it is "bacterial SSU rRNA". It matches the Rfam family "Bacterial small subunit ribosomal RNA", at positions 24 to 518 of the family's 1533-position model. The record is from RNAcentral.
UCAGGACGAACGCUGGCGGCAUGCCUAACACAUGCAAGUCAACGGGACGCUUAACGACCGAGGCUCGGCCAAGUGAAUUAUGAGUUAGUGGCGGACGGGUGAGUAACGCGUGAGCAACCUGCCUUUCAGAGGGGGACAACAGUUGGAAACGACUGCUAAUACCGCAUGACAUACAGAAGGGGCAUCCUUUCUGUAUCAAAAGAUUUAUCGCUGAAAGAUGGGCUCGCGUCUGAUUAGAUAGUUGGCGGGGUAACGGCCCACCAAGUCGACGAUCAGUAGCCGGACUGAGAGGUUGAACGGCCACAUUGGGACUGAGAUACGGCCCAGACUCCUACGGGAGGCAGCAGUGGGGAAUAUUGGUCAAAUGGGGGCAACCCUGAACCGGCAAUGCCGCGUGAAGGAAGAAGGCCUUCGGGUUGUAAACUUCUUUGACGAGGGACGAUAAUGACGGUACCUCGAAAACAAGCCACGGCUAACUACGUGCCAGCCGCCGC